GAUGAACGCUAGCGGCAGGCCUAAUACAUGCAAGUCGAACGGGAUCCAGAUCAAAGCUUGCUUUGGUCUGGUGAGAGUGGCGCACGGGUGCGUAACGCGUGAGCAACCUACCCUUGUCAGGGGGAUAGCCCGGCGAAAGUCGGAUUAAUACCGCAUGACAUCAUUGAGAGGCAUCUUUCGAUGAUCAAAGAUUUAUCGGACAAGGAUGGGCUCGCGUGACAUUAGCUAGUUGGUAAGGUAACGGCUUACCAAGGCUGCGAUGUCUAGGGGCUCUGAGAGGAGAAUCCCCCACACUGGUACGGAGACACGGACCAGACUCCUACGGGAGGCAGCAGUAAGGAAUAUUGGUCAAUGGACGGAAGUCUGAACCAGCCAUGCCGCGUGCAGGAGGACGGCCCUAGGGGUUGUAAACUGCUUUUAUACGGGAUCAAACGUCGGUACGUGUACCGGUCUGAGUGUACCGUAAGAAUAAGGAUCGGCUAACUCCGUG
Molecule: ribosomal RNA, 490 nt
Filed under: uncultured bacterium
Lineage: Bacteria
Description: partial 16S ribosomal RNA
Rfam family: Bacterial small subunit ribosomal RNA
Source: RNAcentral